This 65-nucleotide transfer RNA is filed under the name Miopithecus talapoin (talapoin). RNAcentral describes it as "tRNA-Cys". RNAcentral also lists the same sequence under 1 other name. Lineage: Eukaryota; Metazoa; Chordata; Mammalia; Primates; Cercopithecidae. The record is from RNAcentral.
GCUCCGAGGUGAUUUUCAUGUUGAAUUGCAAGUUCAAGGGAGCAGUUUAAGUCUGCCGGGGCUUC